This 253-nucleotide ribosomal RNA is filed under the name uncultured bacterium. Its description in RNAcentral is "partial 16S ribosomal RNA". It matches the Rfam family "Bacterial small subunit ribosomal RNA", at positions 524 to 776 of the family's 1533-position model. The record is from RNAcentral.
UACAGAGGUCUCAAGCGUUGUUCGGAUUCAUUGGGCGUAAAGGGUGCGUAGGCGGCGCGGUAAGUCGGGUGUGAAAUCUCGGAGCUUAACUCCGAAACUGCAUUCGAUACUGCCGUGCUUGAGGACUGGAGAGGAGACUGGAAUUCUCGGUGUAGCGGUGAAAUGAGUAGAUAUCGAGAGGAACACCUGUGGCGAAGGCGGGUCUCUAGACAGUUCCUGACGCUGAGGCACGAAAGCCAGGGUAGCAAACGGG